This 323-nucleotide ribosomal RNA is filed under the name uncultured Spirochaetota bacterium. RNAcentral's name for it is "bacterial SSU rRNA". It matches the Rfam family "Bacterial small subunit ribosomal RNA", at positions 28 to 351 of the family's 1533-position model. Lineage: Bacteria; Pseudomonadati; Spirochaetota. The record is from RNAcentral.
GACGAACGCUGGCGGCGUGGAUUAGGCAUGCAAGUCGAACGGUAGAGUGCUUUCGGGCACUUGAGAGUGGCGAACGGGUGAGUAACACGUAGGUAAUCUACCCUCAAAUCGGGGACAACCCAGGGAAACUUGGGCUAAUACCGGAUGAGUGCACUUUCGGGUGUAUAAAAGGUGGCAGUAAUGCUGUUGUUUGAGGAUGAGCCUGCGCUCUAUUAGUUAGUUGGUGAGGUAACGGCUCACCAAGGCGAUGAUAGAUAGGCGGCCUUAACGGGUGGUCGCCCACACUGGGAUUGAGAUACGGCCCAGACUCCUACGGGAGGCUG